This 497-nucleotide ribosomal RNA is filed under the name uncultured bacterium. Its description in RNAcentral is "partial 16S ribosomal RNA". It matches the Rfam family "Bacterial small subunit ribosomal RNA", at positions 28 to 507 of the family's 1533-position model. The record is from RNAcentral.
GACGAACGCUGGCGGCGUGCCUAAUACAUGCAAGUUGAGCGAUGAAGAUUGGUGCUUGCACCAAUUUGAAGAGCAGCGAACGGGUGAGUAACGCGUGGGGAAUCUGCCUUUGAGCGGGGGACAACAUUUGGAAACGAAUGCUAAUACCGCAUAAUAACUUUAAACAUAAGUUUUAAGUUUGAAAGAUGCAAUUGCAUCACUCAAAGAUGAUCCCGCGUUGUAUUAGCUAGUUGGUGAGGUAAAGGCUCACCAAGGCGAUGAUACAUAGCCGACCUGAGAGGGUGAUCUGCCACAUUGGGACUGAGACACGGCCCAAACUCCUACGGGAGGCAGCAGUAGGGAAUCUUCGACAAUGGACGAAAGUCUGACCGAGCAACGCCGCGUGAGUGAAGAAGGUUUUCGGAUCGUAAAACUCUGUUGGUAGAGAAGAACGUUGGUGAGAGUGGAAAGCUCAUCAAGUGACGGUAACUACCCAGAAAGGGACGGCUAACUACGUG